This 994-nucleotide ribosomal RNA is filed under the name Lentilactobacillus buchneri. Its description in RNAcentral is "bacterial SSU rRNA". It matches the Rfam family "Bacterial small subunit ribosomal RNA", at positions 68 to 1038 of the family's 1533-position model. Lineage: Bacteria; Bacillati; Bacillota; Bacilli; Lactobacillales; Lactobacillaceae. The record is from RNAcentral.
GGUGCUUGCACUUGAAAGAUUUAACAUUGAGACGAGUGGCGAACUGGUGAGUAACACGUGGGUAACCUGCCCUUGAAGUAGGGGAUAACACUUGGAAACAGGUGCUAAUACCGUAUAACAACCAAAACCACCUGGUUUUGGUUUAAAAGACGGCUUCGGCUGUCACUUUAGGAUGGACCCGCGGCGUAUUAGCUUGUUGGUAAGGUAACGGCUUACCAAGGCGAUGAUACGUAGCCGACCUGAGAGGGUAAUCGGCCACAUUGGGACUGAGACACGGCCCAAACUCCUACGGGAGGCAGCAGUAGGGAAUCUUCCACAAUGGACGAAAGUCUGAUGGAGCAACGCCGCGUGAGUGAUGAAGGGUUUCGGCUCGUAAAACUCUGUUGUUGGAGAAGAACAGGUGUCAGAGUAACUGUUGACAUCUUGACGGUAUCCAACCAGAAAGCCACGGCUAACUACGUGCCAGCAGCCGCGGUAAUACGUAGGUGGCAAGCGUUGUCCGGAUUUAUUGGGCGUAAAGCGAGCGCAGGCGGUUUUUUAGGUCUGAUGUGAAAGCCUUCGGCUUAACCGGAGAAGUGCAUCGGAAACCGGGAGACUUGAGUGCAGAAGAGGACAGUGGAACUCCAUGUGUAGCGGUGAAAUGCGUAGAUAUAUGGAAGAACACCAGUGGCGAAGGCGGCUGUCUGGUCUGUAACUGACGCUGAGGCUCGAAAGCAUGGGUAGCGAACAGGAUUAGAUACCCUGGUAGUCCAUGCCGUAAACGAUGAGUGCUAAGUGUUGGAGGGUUUCCGCCCUUCAGUGCUGCAGCUAACGCAUUAAGCACUCCGCCUGGGGAGUACGACCGCAAGGUUGAAACUCAAAGGAAUUGACGGGGGCCCGCACAAGCGGUGGAGCAUGUGGUUUAAUUCGAUGCUACGCGAAGAACCUUACCAGGUCUUGACAUCUUCUGCCAACUUAAAAGAUUAGGCGUUCCCUUCGGGGACAGAAUGACAGG